This 468-nucleotide ribosomal RNA is filed under the name uncultured bacterium. RNAcentral's name for it is "partial 16S ribosomal RNA". It matches the Rfam family "Bacterial small subunit ribosomal RNA", at positions 28 to 507 of the family's 1533-position model. The record is from RNAcentral.
GAUGAACGCUGGCGGCGUGCUUAACACAUGCAAGUCGAACGGAAAGGCCCAAGCUUGCUUGGGUACUCGAGUGGCGAACGGGUGAGUAACACGUGGGUGAUCUGCCCUGCACUUCGGGAUAAGCCUGGGAAACUGGGUCUAAUACCGGAUAGGACCACUUCUUGGAUGUUGUGGUGGAAAGUUUUCUCGGUGUGGGAUGAGCUCGCGGCCUAUCAGCUUGUUGGUGGGGUAAUGGCCUACCAAGGCGUCGACGGGUAGCCGGCCUGAGAGGGUGUACGGCCACAUUGGGACUGGGAUACGGGCCAGACUCCUACGGGAGGCAGGAGGGGGGAAUAUUGAACAAUGGGCGCAAGCCUGAUGCAGCGACGCCGCGUGGGGGAUGACGGCCGUCGGGUUGUAAACUCCUUUCGCUAGGGACGAAGCGUUUUUGUGACGGUACCUGGAGAAGAAGCACCGGCUAACUACGUG